AUACCGGACUCAAUGAGGCUCGGUAAUUGAAAUGAGUACAGUUUAAAACCCUUAACGAGGAUCUAUUGGAGGGCAAGUCUGGUGCCAGCAGCCGCGGUAAUUCCAGCUCCAAUAGCGUAUAUUAAAGUUGUUGCAGUUAAAAAGCUCGUAGUUGGAUCUCGGGUACCAGCAAGUGGUCUGCUUAAUUGCUGUCACUGCUUGUCUGGUCCUAAUCAACCGGUUGGCCGCUGAUGCCCUUUAUUGGGUGUUUUCGGUAGCCGGUACGUUUACUUUGAGAAAAUUAGAGUGCUUAAAGCAGGCCAUACGCCUGAAUAAUGUUGCAUGGAAUAAUAGAAUAGGACCUCGGUUCUAUUUUGUUGGUUUUGUAGAGCAUUGAGGUAAUGAUUAAUAGGGACAGACGGGGGCAUUCGUAUUGCGGUGUUAGAGGUGAAAUUCUUGGAUCGCCGCAAGACGAACAACUGCGAAAGCAUUUGCCAAGAAUGUUUUCAUUAAUCAAGAACGAAAGUUGGAGGUUCGAAGACGAUUAGAUACCGUCCUAGUUCCAACCAUAAACGAUGCCAACUAGCGAUUAGCUGCUGUUAUUUAAACGACACAGCUAGCAGCUUCCGGGAAACCAAAGUCUUUGGGUUCCGGGGGAAGUAUGGUUGCAAAGCUGAAACUUAAAGGAAUUGACGGAAGGGCACCACCAGGAGUGGAGCCUGCGGCUUAAUUUGACCCAACACGGGAAAUCUCACCCGGCCCGGACACUGUAAGGAUUGACAGAUUGAGAGCUCUUUCUUGAUUCGGUGGGUGGUGGUGCAUGGCCGUUCUUAGUUGGUGGAGCGAUUUGUCUGGUUAAUUCCGAUAACGAACGAGACUCUAACUUGCUAAAUAGUACGUCGAUCUUUUGUCGGCGCGUACUUCUUAGAAGGAUAAGUAGCGUAUAGCUACAUGAAAUUGGGCAAUAACAGGUCUGUGAUGCCCUUAGAUGUUCGGGGCCGCACGCGCGCUACACUGAAGGGAUAAGCGUGUUUCUCCUGCUCCGAAAGGAGUGGGUAACCCGCUGAAACCCCUUCGUGAUUGGGAUCGGGGCUUGAAACUAUUCUCCGUGAACGAGGAAUUCCCAGUAAGCGCAAGUCAUAAGCUUGCGUUGAUUACGUCCCUGCCCUUUGUACACACCGCCCGUCGCUACUACCGAUUGAAUGGUUUAGUGAGAUCCUCGGAUUGAUUCGGAGGUGGCCGCAAGGUUGCCUCUAGUUAUCGAGAAGACGAUCAAACUUGA
Molecule: ribosomal RNA, 1261 nt
Filed under: metagenome
Description: SSU rRNA
Rfam family: Eukaryotic small subunit ribosomal RNA
Source: RNAcentral